AUACAUCAAAAGCUGGUUAUUUACUGUUGUUUUUCUACUUAAAACAUUGGCCUUCAUGUAAAUUCAAGGCUUGAUUGGAUGUUGUAAAUUGAGUCUUCCAAGUGGAUGCAUCUGUGGAAACAACUUGGGAAUCUACACUGUCUUAGAAGGUCUGUGUGUUGGUCAUGUUGUCCUCAGCCGAGAACUGGCCUCAAGUUUAACCCCCUUGGAGAUACUAGAGACCCCAGAGGGCUGAAAACGUACAGGUGAAACUUAAUCCUCCAGAUAUGGCAGCGCCUGUGAGAUACCCUUGGUGGAGAGCAUUUGUGACAAGGAAGAGUAUUCCAACAACCCAAGAAUCUGGUGAGACCCAACCUUCUGGGGAGCAUAUUUCUCCUAUCUCCUCCAAAUCUACACCGGACUCAAAGGGAAACGAAACAUUUCCAGAUGCAGAAACCUUUGACGAUGCAGAGUUUGAGCCAAUGUUCAAUGAGAAAACUUGUAGACGGAAUCUAAAAGUUUCACGUUCUGGACGUUUUAAGGAGAAGAGAAGAGUAAGGGGGACCAUACCUGAAAAUAACAACUUCAGUGGAAAUGUUGCUGCGACUGCUGUUGCGAAGUAGCCCAGGGUAUAUCAUUAUCAUUCUCAUUCUACCUGCCAGACUGCAACCUGUUAUGGAGCAUGGGACAUUGAUGAUGCAAUUAGAAUUAAUUUUUUUAGGCAUUUUUUAAAGAUAUAACUUUCAUAAAUGUUGAUCAAUUGGGCCUAUACCAAGUUAAUAUAUUAGGUAUACACCUAAUUCAUAAUAUGUUUAGGCCAAUGAAAGAUGGAUACGGAAUAGUUAUGAAGUAUCAAAUUAUUGUAAAAAAUGUCAUAAUCAUAUUGUAGCGAAUUCGGAAAGUAGCCCCAACCGGGACUCGAACCAGGGUCCAGCCAAGCCCUUAACGGUAACGCCAAAGAGGUCUGGGUUAAGGUUGCUACAUUACCAACUUCCUUCAGGAGAGUGUGUCCCCACACUUCUCUAUACCAAGUCCCUCAUGUGUAUGGCCUCACCAAUGUAGAAAAUUCAGGAGGUAGCCCUGACAGGGACUCAAGCCAACACCUUUAACGUUACGCCAACAGGUCCGAACUUCUUGACGAGGUCACUAGAUGUUGGGUUAAGGUUGUUACAAUAUCCAUUUUCAAGUAUGUUUUCAUAUUUCAUACACACCCAGCCUAAUGCACAUGGUAUCUAAUGUAGAAAAUAUUCCUGCCAGGGUCAAUUUUUUAAAUUUUUUUAUUAUUUCUUUGUUGCUUUUUGUGUGUUUGUUUUCUUGUUUGUUUGUUUGAUAUGAAGGACUCGAGGUGGUUUGAUAUGAAGGACUCGAGGUGGUUUGAUAUGAAGGACUCGAGGUGGUUUGACAUAAAAGACUCGAGGUGGUUUGAUAUGAAGGACUCGAGGUGGUUUGACAUGAAGGACUCGAGGUGGUUUGAAAUGAAGGACUCGAGGUGGUUUGAUAUGAAGGACUCGAGGUGGUUUGACAUGAAGGACUCGAGGUGGUUUGACAUAAAAGACUCGAGGUGGUUUGAUAUGAAGGACUCGAGGUGGUUUGAUAUGAAGGACUCGAGGUGGUUUGACAUGAAGGACUCGAGGUGGUUUGAUAUGAAGGACUCGAGGUGGUUUGAUAUGAAGGACUCGAGGUGGUUUGAUAUGAAGGACUCGAGGUGGUUUGAUAUGAAGGACUCGAGGUGGUUUGAUAUGAAGGACUCGAGGUGGUUUGAUAUGAAGGACUCGAGGUGGUUUGAUAU
Molecule: long non-coding RNA, 1768 nt
Organism: Coregonus clupeaformis (lake whitefish)
Lineage: Eukaryota; Metazoa; Chordata; Actinopteri; Salmoniformes; Salmonidae
Exons: 2
Source: RefSeq, a predicted model, not a curated record